RNAcentral lists this ribosomal RNA (276 nucleotides) under uncultured Eubacteriales bacterium. RNAcentral's name for it is "uncultured Clostridiales bacterium partial 16S ribosomal RNA". It matches the Rfam family "Bacterial small subunit ribosomal RNA", at positions 68 to 339 of the family's 1533-position model. The record is from RNAcentral. Lineage: Bacteria; Bacillati; Bacillota; Clostridia; Eubacteriales.
UGAGAGCUUCGGCAGGAUUUUUAUCUAUCUUAGUGGCGGACGGGUGAGUAACGUGUGGGCAACCUGCCUCAUACAGGGGGAUAACAGUUAGAAAUGACUGCUAAUACCGCAUAAGCGCACGGGACCGCAUGGUUUUGUGUGAAAAGCCGAGACGGUAUGAGAUGGACCCGCGUCUGAUUAGCUGGUUGGUGGGGUAACGGCCCACCAAGGCGACGAUCAGUAGCCGACCUGAGAGGGUGACCGGCCACAUUGGGACUGAGACACGGCCCAAACUCC